UCCACUGUUGAACUACUUUCC
Molecule: non-coding RNA, 21 nt
Filed under: Caenorhabditis elegans
Lineage: Eukaryota; Metazoa; Nematoda; Chromadorea; Rhabditida; Rhabditidae
Source: RNAcentral